This 202-nucleotide long non-coding RNA is filed under the name Brassica rapa (field mustard). RNAcentral describes it as "long non-coding RNA (BRAP_LNC000360)". The record is from RNAcentral. Lineage: Eukaryota; Viridiplantae; Streptophyta; Magnoliopsida; Brassicales; Brassicaceae.
AAAGAAAACAUAAACUACUCUUUUCAUGUCCAAUGGAUCAAUGGUUAUGGACAUCAAAAGGAUACUGAAGAUGUAAGAUAUUUGUCCUGAAAUAGUCGUUGACGUAGUUGAUGAAGCAGAUGUCAUGUGAGUGGUGAAGACCAUGUGGAAUCAAGGUGCUGAGAUGGAGUCGCAUAGAAUUGGAAAGCAAGAUAGUAUUUUG